Molecule: non-coding RNA, 30 nt
Filed under: Macaca fascicularis (crab-eating macaque)
Lineage: Eukaryota; Metazoa; Chordata; Mammalia; Primates; Cercopithecidae
Also listed under: 1 other name
Source: RNAcentral
UGACUGAGGAAGUGAUAAAAUCAAAUGUGC